GGUGUGUACAAGGCCCGGGAACGUAUUCACCGUGGCAUUCUGAUCCACGAUUACUAGCGAUUCCGACUUCACGGAGUCGAGUUGCAGACUCCGAUCCGGACUACGACGCACUUUUUGGGAUUCGCUCACUCUCGCAAGUUGGCCGCCCUCUGUAUGCGCCAUUGUAGCACGUGUGUAGCCCUACUCGUAAGGGCCAUGAUGACUUGACGUCGUCCCCACCUUCCUCCGGUUUAUCACCGGCAGUCUCCCUGGAGUUCCCACCCGAAGUGCUGGCAAACAAGGAUAAGGGUUGCGCUCGUUGCGGGACUUAACCCAACAUUUCACAACACGAGCUGACGACAGCCAUGCAGCACCUGUCUCAGAGUUCCCGAAGGCACCAAUCCAUCUCUGGAAAGUUCUCUGGAUGUCAAGAGUAGGUAAGGUUCUUCGCGUUGCAUCGAAUUAAACCACAUGCUCCACCGCUUGUGCGGGCCCCCGUCAAUUCAUUUGAGUUUUAAUCUUGCGACCGUACUCCCCAGGCGGUCUACUUAACGCGUUAGCUCCGAAAGCCACGGCUCAAGGCCACAACCUCCAAGUAGACAUCGUUUACGGCGUGGACUACCAGGGUAUCUAAUCCUGUUUGCUCCC
RNAcentral lists this ribosomal RNA (627 nucleotides) under Vibrio harveyi. RNAcentral describes it as "partial 16S ribosomal RNA". The record is from RNAcentral. Lineage: Bacteria; Pseudomonadati; Pseudomonadota; Gammaproteobacteria; Vibrionales; Vibrionaceae.